Molecule: ribosomal RNA, 444 nt
Filed under: uncultured bacterium
Lineage: Bacteria
Description: bacterial SSU rRNA
Rfam family: Bacterial small subunit ribosomal RNA
Source: RNAcentral
GAUGAACGCNGGCGGCGUGCUUAACACAUGCAAGUCGAACGAGAAGUGAAGACGGAAACCUUCGGGCGGAAGACUUUAUUUCGAGUGGCGGACGGGUGAGUAACGCGUGGGUAACCUGCCUCAUACAGGGGGAUAACAGUUGGAAACGACUGUUAAUACCGCAUAAGACCACAGCACCGCAUGGUGCGGGGGUAAAAACUCCGGUGGUAUGAGAUGGACCCGCGUUCGAUUAGCCAGUUGGCGGGGUAACGGCCCACCAAAGCGACGAUCGAUAGCCGAUCUGAGAGGAUGACCGGCCACAUUGGGACUGAGACACGGCCCAAACUCCUACGGGAGGCAGCAGUGGGGAAUAUUGCACAAUGGGGGAAACCCUGAUGCAGCGACGCCGCGUGAGUGAAGAAGUAUUUCGGUAUGUAAAGCUCUAUCAGCAGGGAAGAAAANGAC